Molecule: ribosomal RNA, 420 nt
Filed under: bacterium
Lineage: Bacteria
Description: partial 16S ribosomal RNA
Rfam family: Bacterial small subunit ribosomal RNA
Source: RNAcentral
UGGGGGAUAUUGCACAAUGGGCGAAAGCCUGAUGCAGCGACGCCGCGUGGGGGAUGAAGGCUUUCGGGUUGUAAACCUCUUUCGCUAUCGAACAAGGCCCGCUUAGGGUGGGUUGAGGGUAGGUGGAGAAGAAGCGCCGGCUAACUACGUGCCAGCAGCCGCGGUAACACGUAGGGCGCGAGCGUUGUCCGGCUUUAUUGGGCGUAAAGGGCUUGUAGGCGGCUUGUUGCGCCUGCUGUGAAAACGCGGGGCUUAACUUCGCACGUGCAGUGGGUACGGGCAGGCUUGAGUGUGGUAGGGGUGACUGGAAUUCCGGGUGUGGCGGUGGAAUGCGCAGAUAUCUGGAGGAACGCCGAUGACGGAGGCAGGUCACUGGGCCAUUACUGACGCUGAGGAGCGAAAGCAUGGGUAGCGAACAGG